ACUGCCUGAUGGAGGGGGAUAACUACUGGAAACGGUAGCUAAUACCGCAUAAUGUCGCAAGACCAAAGAGGGGGACCUUCGGGCCUCUUGCCAUCGGAUGUGCCCAGAUGGGAUUAGCUUGUUGGUGGGGUAACGGCUCACCAAGGCGACGAUCCCUAGCUGGUCUGAGAGGAUGACCAGCCACACUGGAACUGAGACACGGUCCAGACUCCUACGGGAGGCAGCAGUGGGGAAUAUUGCACAAUGGGCGCAAGCCUGAUGCAGCCAUGCCGCGUGUAUGAAGAAGGCCUUCGGGUUGUAAAGUACUUUCAGCGGGGAGGAAGGGAGUAAAGUUAAUACCUUUGCUCAUUGACGUUAUCCGCAGAAGAAGCACCGGCUAACUCCGUGCCAGCAGCCGCGGUAAUACGGAGGGUGCAAGCGUUAAUCGGAAUUACUGGGCGUAAAGCGCACGCAGGCGGUUUGUUAAGUCAGAUGUGAAAUCCCCGGGCUCAACCUGGGAACUGCAUCUGAUACUGGCAAGCUUGAGUCUCGUAGAGGGGGGUAGAAUUCCAGGUGUAGCGGUGAAAUGCGUAGAGAUCUGGAGGAAUACCGGUGGCGAAGGCGGCCCCCUGGACGAAGACUGACGCUCAGGUGCGAAAGCGUGGGGAGCAAACAGGAUUAGAUACCCUGGUAGUCCACGCCGUAAACGAUGUCGACUUGGAGGUUGUGCCCUUGAGGCGUGGCUUCCGGAGCUAACGCGUUAAGUCGACCGCCUGGGGAGUACGGCCGCAAGGUUAAAACUCAAAUGAAUUGACGGGGGCCCGCACAAGCGGUGGAGCAUGUGGUUUAAUUCGAUGCAACGCGAAGAACCUUACCUGGUCUUGACAUCCACGGAAGUUUUCAGAGAUGAGAAUGUGCCUUCGGGAACCGUGAGACAGGUGCUGCAUGGCUGUCGUCAGCUCGUGUUGUGAAAUGUUGGGUUAAGUCCCGCAACGAGCGCAACCCUUAUCCUUUGUUGCCAGCGGUCCGGCCGGGAACUCAAAGGAGACUGCCAGUGAUAAACUGGAGGAAGGUGGGGAUGACGUCAAGUCAUCAUGGCCCUUACGACCAGGGCUACACACGUGCUACAAUGGCGCAUACAAAGAGAAGCGACCUCGCGAGAGCAAGCGGACCUCAUAAAGUGCGUCGUAGUCCGGAUUGGAGUCUGCAACUCGACUCCAUGAAGUCGGAAUCGCUAGUAAUCGUGGAUCAGAAUGCCACGGUGAAUACGUUCCCGGGCCUUGUACACACCGCCCGUCACACCAUGGGAGUGGGUUGCAAAAGAAGUAGGUAGCUUAACCUUCGGGAGGGCGCUUACCACUUUGUGAUUCAUGACUGGGGUGAAGUCGUAACAAGGUAACCGUAGGGGAACCUGCGGUUG
RNAcentral lists this ribosomal RNA (1399 nucleotides) under Shigella boydii. Its description in RNAcentral is "bacterial SSU rRNA". It matches the Rfam family "Bacterial small subunit ribosomal RNA". Lineage: Bacteria; Pseudomonadati; Pseudomonadota; Gammaproteobacteria; Enterobacterales; Enterobacteriaceae. The record is from RNAcentral.